Long non-coding RNA from Aegilops tauschii subsp. strangulata, 2859 nucleotides. RefSeq lists it as uncharacterized. The record is from RefSeq and is a predicted model, not a curated record. NCBI's taxonomy places the organism in Eukaryota, Viridiplantae, Streptophyta, Magnoliopsida, Poales, Poaceae.
UUUGGUUUGUCUUCAACAUUGAUUUGUCCUCAAGGUUUAUCUUCGCAAUGUUGAUAAACCCCUAUGGUCUUUUAACACCUGGUACUAAUAUAUAUUAGUGUGGAUUUUUUAACACCUGGUGACUAUGCCACCCCUAUGGGUGAUAGUGCCACCCCAUGUAAUUUCCGUUCAAUGCAUGCCUCGUGAUCUGUGCAAAGACUAUGAUACCAUCAUUCCUCCAUCAGGAUUUAGUUAAUGAGCAUGCUAAUGAUCACACUAAUACGAUCCCAGAAGACUAUGUGUCAAACUUAAGGUAUCAUAAUGUCAGAUCAUCGAUACUUAACCAAAAAGAUUCUUUAAUAGUAUAAAAGUAUUGUACCUUCUAACUUUCUAUAAUAGUAAAAAAAGAUGGUUGGUGAUUAAAACUUAUACCUAAAAGGAGUUCCCCAUGAACUUAGAACAUAUUCCCCGAAAAUAGAUCCAUGUGUAUACAUAGUAUCAACAUUCAAUAUUGGUAUUAUUUGGGGCUAAUGAACUCGUUUCAGUAUAAAUAGACAGCUGGAAGACUAAUCAAUGGCAGACCUAGAAGAUGCUACACAGAUUUUAAAGUGACAUCAGACGAAAGAGGUGACAAUGCUCUGGAUGGCAAAAACAUAGUUAUUAGGAUCACGGCCAGUAUAGAGAGCGAUCUGAUAUCCCCGAACUUGCAAAACUAACAACUAAGAAAAGAAAAAACACCCACGCACCAGGCCACGAACUGCCCACACUCCCACCCGACCCCCAUUCCCCCCGAUGCCCUGCCGCCACGGCGACCUCCGAGAUCCCGCCAUGGCGCGACCUUCUGGCGCCGCCUCCCCCGCCUCCUCCUAGAACCAGCGCCACAGACCUGCCUCCUUCCGGCGUGCCGCCGACCUCGGCCCGCCCCAACCGACGCCGCCUCCUUCCGGCGCGCCGCCGACCUCGCCCCAGCUCGACCGACCUCCCAUCAUCCUUUGCCGGCGACGGCCGGACCCCCGCGGCCGCGCUUCUAAGCUCUCCUUCUUCCUUCUCCUCACCCUCUCAUCGGCGCAGCAGCGCCCUAAAUCCUACGCGCAUCCCCACGCCGCCACCAGGGCCUGGAACCCCAGAUGUCGUCGCCGGUCUAGGAUCCUGGCGCGCGGCCACGGGGCUAUGGAUUCCCGUGUGCACCGCAUGGACCUGGAUCCCACACGCCACCGUUGCGCCAAAGGAUCCCCACACGCCGCCGCCGCCUACCCAAAGCGCCUCCACCGGCCGACAGCUCGGCGCUCCAUCAGUCCCAAUGGUGGAUCCAUGGUGGGCUGCUGGAUCUCGUCCCCUCCUCUGCGUGGAGCCCUGCUGGAGGCCCUCCUCCUCGACAGGAUGCUGUCCACCUAGGGCCAGUGGGAGCAAGCCGCCGUGGCUCUCCGAUGCUCCGGUGAGGUACUCCCAAUUAUCUCUACUGCUCUGGUGAGGCCACCCUCCUCUCCCUACCGUAGCCUCAAACUUUCCCUCGUCGCAGAAGAAGUUGGGUAAUGUGGCGCUGCUGUUGAUUGUCUAGGUUGUAGUCCAGAAAAGUUUUGGACAGAAGUUCAAGUGGUUCCACUCCUGUAAUUUAGAGAUAUUGAUGUUGAUGAUGAUGUAAAAAAAUUAACAGAAGUUCAAAAUUUGAAUGAAAAGGAAAAAAUAGCUCCAUUUUAAGAAGAAAACUGAAAAAGCCAUUGCCACAGUGCCGACCAUGAAGGUCUGAUGUUGAGAAGGUCAGGUGCAUGAUGCAUCUCCGGCCAUCCCCUUCCCACCUUGGCCUUAGACCAAAAGAUGACCUUCUUAGUUGAUGAUGUUAACCUUCAUCAUAAUUUUUUUUGCUCUGUUGUGCGGUGGAAAAUUUAAUUUUGUUGUUCUGUGAGCAGCAACUUGAGACUCCCAAGCUCUGCAGAUGUCUCUUGGAUGUGGCGUUCUUCUAUGUGCAGCUGAUGGGAACUCUCUGCUGCUGGAACAAUGAAAUUAACCGUGCGGCUAGAUCCCAAACUUUUGCUCAUCCCAUGCGCGAGAGUACAUCUAUCGAAGUUUACCUUGUUGUUUCUCUAAGACGUUCAAGUAUAAUUGUUUAAAAGGUUCAGUUAUGACCGCAACUGUGGGUUCAGAUAUACUCAGCACUAGGCUACCGCUACCUACAGCAGAACCUUGACUUGCUACACAUGGGCUGCACUUCAUGUUUACUUCAAAGACAGGAUACCAUAUGUGCAGUGCCUCAUGUGUAUAUCAGCUAGCUAAUGUUUCUGCAAAAAUUAGUGUUUGUAUAUAGCUUGUAUGUACAAACAUAGAUUUAGCCCAUUUUGGCACUACAAUUGCAUAGUUUUGGUAGUUCUACUUGUACAUAGUUCAUACAAUUUGUUUCUUUGUCUACUGAUGGCUAUGGCAAAUACGAUGCUACAUGGGAAAAUUGUGACGCACCUUCGCUUGGUGCCGCCACAGGACCAGUGCGCCCUCCUGUCCUCUGCUUUUAUCUGUGCGCAGCUAUGUGUCUCGCACCAUGGCUUGCCCCUGCUGCUGCUGGGAACAGUCAAAUUUGUGAUUGGCUUCGAAGACGUUCCACGAAGUCCCACUACAUGUAUACGUCAUGUUCUUCAGAGAUGUUCCGUGAAGUUCUACUACUGCUGAGCGACACUGUGGGCUCGUGUGUGCGGGUGCCAGUAUGGUGUGCUUGGUUCAUGUGUGCCUUGCAAGGUGCAUGUUUGCCAUGCUGGAUGCUGGCCAGCUCGCUCUUCCUGUGCAUCCAUGCUGCUCUAACCACACUUGUAAGCAGCAGCUAGUUCUCUCUCCGUGUGUUUAUUAAAAAAAGGAAGACCCCAAAUCAAUAAAAGAGCAUCAUGUUCUAGGGCA